Non-coding RNA from Hypoxylon sp. FL0543, 83 nucleotides. NCBI's taxonomy places the organism in Eukaryota, Fungi, Ascomycota, Sordariomycetes, Xylariales, Hypoxylaceae. The record is from the annotation of a GenBank genome assembly.
GGUGGUAUAGUAUAGUGGAUAGUACAACACGUUGUGGACUAUACAAUACCGUGUAGACCUGGGUUCGAUUCCCAGUACCGCCA